Molecule: ribosomal RNA, 412 nt
Filed under: uncultured bacterium
Lineage: Bacteria
Description: bacterial SSU rRNA
Rfam family: Bacterial small subunit ribosomal RNA
Source: RNAcentral
CGGCGGACGGGUGAGUAAUGUCUGGGAAACUGCCUGAUGGAGGGGGAUAACUACUGGAAACGGUAGCUAAUACCGCAUAACGUCUACGGACCAAAGUGGGGGACCUUCGGGCCUCACGCCAUCAGAUGUGCCCAGAUGGGAUUAGCUAGUAGGUGGGGUAAUGGCUCACCUAGGCGACGAUCCCUAGCUGGUCUGAGAGGAUGACCAGCCACACUGGAACUGAGACACGGUCCAGACUCCUACGGGAGGCAGCAGUGGGGAAUAUUGCACAAUGGGCGCAAGCCUGAUGCAGCCAUGCCGCGUGUGUGAAGAAGGCCUUAGGGUUGUAAAGCACUUUCAGCGAGGAGGAAGGGUUCAGUGUUAAUAGCACUGUUCAUUGACGUUACUCGCAGAAGAAGCACCGGCUAACUCC